UCCUGCAACAGUUUCAGCAGGGUGACCCAGACAACGCUGAGUGAUAAAGAGCCCUGCCUGGGUCACCAUGCUGCAACUGUUGCUGGUC
RNAcentral lists this microRNA precursor (88 nucleotides) under Caenorhabditis brenneri. RNAcentral describes it as "pre miRNA CBN34175". Lineage: Eukaryota; Metazoa; Nematoda; Chromadorea; Rhabditida; Rhabditidae. The record is from RNAcentral.